Molecule: long non-coding RNA, 4266 nt
Filed under: Bos grunniens (domestic yak)
Lineage: Eukaryota; Metazoa; Chordata; Mammalia; Artiodactyla; Bovidae
Description: lncRNA (ENSBGRG00000015271.1)
Source: RNAcentral
CACCACAGGCUGCUGACCUCAGCAAGCUUUCUCUUGGGUUUAGAGAGGUCUUCAAAGGAAGUGUCCAGAAUCUCUUCAUCUUGGCUUUCCAAAGAUUCUGCCUGCAGGUUCUCCCUGGGGUCUUCGAGUGCAUCCUGGAGCCAUGCCACAUUCAGACGGGGACUCUGGGGAGGAUGGCCUCAGUUCCUCCCCAAAGGCAGUAGUGUUCCUCUUGAACCCCAAGGCCAGGACGAUUUUAAGCCCAGGACAGGUGCGAGCCUCUCACUGAGCCGGGGAACCUGGCAGGCGGGGACGCCUCUGCUGACACUCAGCUGCACCAGGUGUGAGGUCACGAUGGCUGGCUUGGCAGACUUACACGCCAAGGCCAAGAGCAGCUCGUUCCUCUCUAGUGCUCUGGUGACCUCGUUGAUGCCGAUAGCAAGCUGCUUCCUGACGCCAACGGGGUCCACCCUGACGCCUGGGCAUCACCUUGGGCUUUUCUUUCUUCAGAUCCUCACCAGUGUCCACGCUAUGCUGCUCAUGUCUCCACUUUGUUUUUUCAAAGGGGGCUGCUUUUUCUUUCUUUUCCUAUCCUCAAUCUUCUGAAGCCCGAGAGACUGAAUUCUGUCCUCCAGGGUCUGCAGUAUGAAGUGCAUGUCCUCCCUAUCCAGGACGCCCCAGCAGAUGCUGUACGGGUUGUUCAGUGACGUCUUCACAGGUAGAGGUCUCGUCUUCCGCACGGAGCCCCUCCCUGGUGCCUGUGGGGCUGCAGCCAUACUGAAAAAUCCUUCACAGGAGCAAAAUGGCAAAGGAAAAUUGUGUUAACUAGACAUGCGCCUUAAGGAUAUCUUGGUUGUGCUCUUUCUGGUUUUGAAAGGCUAGAGCAAGCCUACUUACAUAGGACAUGUAUAUACUUACAUAUAUAUAUGUAUAUAUGUAAAUAAUUAUAUAUAUAUAUAUGUAUAUAUGUGACCAUACACCUAAUCUCUCUUUUAAGUCAUUUAUUUUCCCAUUUUUCCUAUGACUUAGUCUUCAUUCAUAUACAGGCAAUUUAUGAAUGUUUUGCCUUAUUGCAAUCCCAGUGAAAUUCUAUGUUUGCUUUAUUGAAAAUGUUCCAAUUUUACUACUUGUCGUAAUUAUUUAUCUUCUUCAGGACCUCUGUUAUUAGUCUGAUAGAUUUCUGACCAUUUCCUAGAUUGCUUUCCACUUAGGCUUCUAUUUAUCCAUUCAGCAAAUACUGAGCACCUCUACUCCGAGUCAUAGGCACUGGGGUUCAGCCUUAAACAAGUUCCCAUGACCACCUCUGUGAGUCCCCACAUCCCUCUGCCCUCAGCACAGAAUCUCUGAGGGCCCUGGAAGCCUCUGCCAUUAACCAGGUGUGAUUUUAAAGAACUGGGACCAUAAUCUAUGCACAUGACUGAAAAUCUGAAUGAUUCAUUCUGUGCCCUUUUGCAGUCCUCCUCCCUCCCUGGACCCUAAGUUCUUUGUCCUUCAUAAAACACGGAUACACAGAUUCCCUUCCUCUGGUAAGUCCAAGCAGGCUGUUCCUCUGGCUGACAGUGUGAUGAAAACAACGGAAUUUUGUAAUGCAAUUUAAAGAUACUAAUCUGUUAAGGCAAAACAGAGGGAUGAUUGCUAGCAAAAUGUUAUAGAUCACUGUUCUCAGGAGCAUCUCCUGAUAAUCCCAUCCGGAGGCAACUGCACGUUCCUCUCUUCUGUAUUCUUCCUCACUUCCUGGGCUCACCUGGGAACCAUAGGGACCCAUGUUGCAAAACUGAAAGAAGGUAAAUGAGCUAGAGAAGUCUGGAGUUUGGGACUGUCCCUGUUUUCAGGUAACCAGAUUUUCUCAUUCCAGAUUUCUCCUCAUGUGAGGUCAUUCAUCCCACAGAUGACCCCCACCCACAAGUGGCCCAGGCAAGAUUAAGGAUAAAUUCCUCCAAUAAACACCUUAAGAGCCUGGCUGCCAAUGCUGAGGAGGAAGUCAGAACAAGUAAGGCACUUUCUCCAAGAAAUACUUGAUUCUCACAAAAGUCCAUUAGUGGGGAAGCAACAGACUCAGGUUAAAUACCCUGCCAGUCACAGCUGGUUUCCCAAAUCCAAAUUCUAUGCUCUUUCAAUCCUGGCUGCAUCUCAAAAAUAAGCUGUGACUUUUAAAGUAUAUAGAUGGUUGGUCCUUACCCUAGGUCUACUGAAUCGAAAUCCCUGAGAAUACGGCAGGGCUCCUUUACUUGUCAAAAGGUUGCCCAGGUGACUCUGAUACAGAACUGGGAUUGGGAACCAUCCCUGAGACAGGGUCUCCUGACGUCUACUGGCCUCUGAAGUUCCUCCCACGCCACCUCACAGAAAACCAAAAUUCAGCUCCUGGAGUGAAAGCUACCUUGUUCCUGUCAGUACAUGAACCGUGAACUCCAAGAUGUUCAAGCUAGGUUUAGAAAAGGCAGAGGAACCAGAGAUCAAAUUGCCAACAUCCACUGGAUCAUCAAAAAGCAAGAGAGUUCCAGAAAAAUAUCUACUGCUUUAUUCUUCCUCACUUCCUGGGCUCACCUGGGAACCAUAGGGACCCAUGUUGCAAAACUGAAAGAAGGUAAAUGAGCUAGAGAAGUCUGGAGUUUGGGACUGUCCCUGUUUUCAGGUAACCAGAUUUUCUCAUUCCAGAUUUCUCCUCAUGUGAGGUCAUUCAUCCCACAGAUGACCCCCACCCACAAGUGGCCCAGGCAAGAUUAAGGAUAAAUUCCUCCAAUAAACACCUUAAGAGCCUGGCUGCCAAUGCUGAGGAGGAAGUCAGAACAAGUAAGGCACUUUCUCCAAGAAAUACUUGAUUCUCACAAAAGUCCAUUAGUGGGGAAGCAACAGACUCAGGUUAAAUACCCUGCCAGUCACAGCUGGUUUCCCAAAUCCAAAUUCUAUGCUCUUUCAAUCCUGGCUGCAUCUCAAAAAUAAGCUGUGACUUUUAAAGUAUAUAGAUGGUUGGUCCUUACCCUAGGUCUACUGAAUCGAAAUCCCUGAGAAUACGGCAGGGCUCCUUUACUUGUCAAAAGGUUGCCCAGGUGACUCUGAUACAGAACUGGGAUUGGGAACCAUCCCUGAGACAGGGUCUCCUGACGUCUACUGGCCUCUGAAGUUCCUCCCACGCCACCUCACAGAAAACCAAAAUUCAGCUCCCUGGAGUGAAAGCUACCUUGUUCCUGUCAGUACAUGAACCGUGAACUUCCAAGAUGUUCAAGCUAGGUUUAGAAAAGGCAGAGGAACCAGAGAUCAAAUUGCCAACAUCCACUGGAUCAUCAAAAAGCAAGAGAGUUCCAGAAAAAUAUCUACUGCUUUAUUGACUAUGCCAAAGCCUUUGACUGUGUGGAUCACAACAAACUCUGGAAAAUUCUUCAAGAGAUGGGAAUACCAGACAACCUGACCUGCCUCUUGAGAAAUCUGUAUGCAGGUCAGAAAGCAACAGUUAGGCUUUUUCAAACAGAAUGAGAAGUCUCUUUUGCCAGGGUUGUGAGAAGAUUCAAUCAAUGAACAUUUGAAGAGCAUCUAAAGUACAUCCUGGCAGACGACUUUAAAAAAAAAAGAAAGCAACAGUUAGAACUGGACAUGGAAUAACAGAUUGGUUCCAAAUAGGCAAAGAGUACGUCAAGGCUGUAUAUUGUCAUCCUGCUUAUUUAACUUAUAUGCAGAGUACAUCAUGAGAAAUGCUGGGCUGGAUGAAGCCCAAGCUGGAAUCAAGAUUGUUGGGAAAAAUAUCAAUAACCUCAGAUAUACAGAUGACACCACCCUUAUGGCAGAAAGCGAAGAACUAAAGAGCCUCUUGAUGAAAGUGAAAGAGGAGAGUGAAAAGUUGGCUUAAAACUCAACAUUCAGAAAACUAAGAUCAUGGCAUCCAGUCCGUCACUUCAUGGCAAAUAGAUGGGGAAACAGUGGAAACAGUGACAGACUUUAUUUUGGGGCUCCAAAAUUACUGCAGCCAUGAAAUUAAAGAUGCUUGCUCCUUGGAAGAAACGCUAUGACCAACCUAGACAGCAUAUUAAAAGCAGAGACAUUACUUGCCAACAAAGGUCUAGUCAAAGCUAUGGUUUUCCAGUAGUCACGUAUGGAUGUGAGAGCUGGACUAUAAAGAAAGCUGAGCACUGAAGAAUUGAUGUUUUGAACUGUGGUGUUACAGAAGACGUGAGAGUCCCUUGAACUGCAAGGAGAUCCAACCAGUCAAUCCUAAAGGAAAUCAGUCCUGAAUAUUCAUUGGAAGGACUGAUGCUGAAGCUGAAACCCAAUACUUUGGCCACCUGAUGCGAAGAA